UAGUAACGGCGAGUGAAGCGGCAACAGCUCAAAUUUGAAAUCUGGCUUCGGCCCGAGUUGUAAUUUGCAGAGGAAGCUUUAGGCGCGGCACCUUCUGAGUCCCCUGGAACGGGGCGCCAUAGAGGGUGAGAGCCCCGUAUAGUUGGAUGCCUAGCCUGUGUAAAGCUCCUUCGACGAGUCGAGUAGUUUGGGAAUGCUGCUCAAAAUGGGAGGUAAAUUUCUUCUAAAGCUAAAUACCGGCCAGAGACCGAUAGCGCACAAGUAGAGUGAUCGAAAGAUGAAAAGCACUUUGAAAAGAGGGUUAAAUAGCACGUGAAAUUGUUGAAAGGGAAGCGCUUGUGACCAGACUUGCGCCGGGCGGAUCAUCCGGUGUUCUCACCGGUGCACUCCGCCCGGCUCAGGCCAGCAUCGGUUCUCGCGGGGGGAUAAAGGCAUCGGGAACGUGGCUCCUCCGGGAGUGUUAUAGCCCGUUGCGUAAUGCCCUCGCGGGGACCGAGGUUCGCGCAUCU
RNAcentral lists this ribosomal RNA (509 nucleotides) under Chaetomium madrasense. RNAcentral describes it as "eukaryotic LSU rRNA". It matches the Rfam family "Eukaryotic large subunit ribosomal RNA", at positions 81 to 602 of the family's 3401-position model. Lineage: Eukaryota; Fungi; Ascomycota; Sordariomycetes; Sordariales; Chaetomiaceae. The record is from RNAcentral.